GAAAUGCGAUAAGUAAUGUGAAUUGCAGAAUUCAGUGAAUCAUCGAAUCUUUGAACGCAUCUUGCGCUCCUUGGUAUUCCGAGGAGCAUGCCUGUUUGAGUGUCAUUUCAUGUUCUCUCAACCUCAUCUUUUGAUGUGGCUUGGAUGGUGGGGGGUGUGUGCAGGCUUGCCUCGAGCAGGGUCUGCUCCCCUGAAAUGCAUUAGCGGUAUCAUCUUUGUACUGCAGGUGUGAUAAAUUAUCUAUGCCUCUGGUAAUGAUUGUGCUGCCUUAGUGUUGUUGUUCUUUGAAAAAAUUGACCUCAAAUCAGGUAGGAAUACCCGCUGAACUUAAGCAUAUCAAUAAGCGGAGGAAAAGAAACUAACAAGGAUUCCCCUAGU
This 378-nucleotide ribosomal RNA is filed under the name uncultured Cortinariaceae. RNAcentral describes it as "eukaryotic LSU rRNA". The stretch from base 1 to 105 matches the Rfam family "5.8S ribosomal RNA", at positions 50 to 154 of the family's 154-position model. Lineage: Eukaryota; Fungi; Basidiomycota; Agaricomycetes; Agaricales; Cortinariaceae. The record is from RNAcentral.